AUUAGCUAAAUUGAGUGUCACAGUAUGUGUUUAUAUCUGGUUUCUUUCCUUCAACGUCAUGUUUGUGAAAUUUAUUCACACGGUUGUGUGCAGCUAUGUUGUUCCUGCUCACAGCAGUUUUGUGCCCUUGGGUGAAAACACCACAUUUUCUAUUGGAGGCUGCAUAGCUGUCUGAAGUUGCACGUGAGUGUGGGACCCAGCACAGGAGGCCCAACUGGACUCCUGCCCAGUGCUCAUGUCACUACCUCACACUACCCACCUUCAACAUUAAGUUCUACAUGCUAUGCUGUGCAUACCUGUCACAUUCCCUUGAAUUAGGACGGAAGCUGGAUUCACCCCAUGUGCAGAGUGGGGUUAAUAAAAGCAAGUUUUGGCAAUAUACUCCUUCCAUGGCACAUAAACUUCAAGUCACAAAUCUGGAUGUGCAUAAAGGUGUUAACACCAAGAGUUGGGGUAAUAUUUCAUCUGCUCUGAAUGCAAUCUCUAUUUCUGGAUGUAUUCAUUUGGCAGGGAGUUCUGCCACUUAAGAGCUAGAGUCGAUUCUCCAGGGAGGCAAGGGGAUUUUUUUCCUGGAGAGCCAUCUUGAGACUGAGAAUACAUCAACGAACUCUGCUCUUAGCAGUACAGGUCAAGUGUUGGAGGCAGUGGAGGUCAAUGUCUUGCUGAGCCAAUGUGAGCCUUCUGUGGGGCCUGGCAAAGCUAGACAUUCCCUCUCUGCAGCUCUGCAACCUUUCUUCCCCCAUAACGUGCCUCUCACAUCCCGUCCCCAAGGAGCCACUUAUUCCCAUGACAGGUUUAUGGUCUAGUUGAACCAGCUGCCCCUCUGGCCAUGUGCACAGUUAGAGAGGCAGGGGCCUCUAGUCAUUCUCUCUCCCUCUGCCCUGGCGUCAGCCACAAAUUCCAGCAGGCUCAUUAAAGUGUCCACCUGUCUGAGCACCUCAUCAGAAGGAUUCAAUGGCUGCAGAACCUCGCUGCUCCCUCCACCUGGAGCGGGGCUGACCCUGCAGUGGCGCGUUUGGCCUGAGCCCCUUUCGUUUUUACCCUCAGGAAGCUUGGGGGCUGCGCAGGCCAGGGCUCUGCCUGGGCUCUGAAUGCUGGAGAGAAGGAGGAGAGAGGAAGUGGGAGAGGAUGUAGUAGUUUCCCCUGUCUACUUUCUCUACCUUCUUUUCUCCUCUACCCUCCCUUUCCAAGCUCAACUUCCUUGACAGUAUUAAGGAAAUACCUUUUUUAGUUACCAAAAUAAGUUGCUCUGUGGAGAAUUUCUGAUGAUCUCAUGGUGAUUUUCCUGCACCCGGAAGACACUUUGCUUUGCUUUGGGACCAUGGAUAUUCCUUGGGGCAGCCACCAAGGAUGAAUAAGGUGGGAUUCUUACCAUGUCCUCCAGCUCUUCUGAAACUUAUCAACAGGGUUUGAAUGGGGAGGCACUGGCCUCGGAGCUCCUUGCUGCUGACAUCAGUUGUGCCCUUGUAGGAGACGUCCUGGUCCUGUCUGCCUCAGAGGCUUCCAUCUGCGGAUUUCCUGAGGUCGUCCCCUUACUCCUCUGCUGCAGUCUCUCUCAACAUUUCAACUGUCUGCUCCAGAAAGUUACUCUGUCACUAAGUAAAAUAAAUACAAACAAAAUAAGCAAUAA
Molecule: long non-coding RNA, 1630 nt
Filed under: Homo sapiens (human)
Lineage: Eukaryota; Metazoa; Chordata; Mammalia; Primates; Hominidae
Description: long intergenic non-protein coding RNA 2706
Source: RNAcentral